CUUUUAAUUACAAUUAUUACAGUGUUAACCAAUGAAGACAAAAUAUAUACUAAUAAAAAUGUAAAAUGACUUGAAAUCUAAGACAAUAUGUGAAUAGGCGACCAAAAACCCUCUAUAUUUUAAGCAUUUGAAGCAGAUGUCUGAUAAUGUCGUUGACUCAAAUAAAGAGACCAUCGGUAUCAAACUGGUCGGACAACAUGAUCAGAUUGCAUGCUCGAUGGAGGGAAGCAAAGUCAGUGGAGACAGGACGAUCUUGUUUUUCUCAUUAGACGCUAUCAUCUAGUAUCAGCUGACAGAACGGGCGAUGGCUCCAUAACCUCCACUCUCCACACAUCAGGGUUCCCUAUAGGUGUCGAGGGUGAACCCGCUGACCUCAUCCCUAUGGUUACCUGUGCUUUGUUUAUCAGAUGGCUUCCCUGUCCUUGGAGAUAUCAUGAGGAUGGGUGCAUCAUUUGUUCUUUAUCGGGACAAGUAAUCUGGUGUUGGUGCACUAGACAACAAGAAAAAGUGCUGAUUAGUUCCAACAGCAUGUGGGCUUUCAGGCGAACAGUUCAGAGGAAAAAUUCUUCAAUCUCAGAUAAGAGCUUUGACAUAAGUUUAUAUGCUAAGCAACAGGCAACAUUUAACACAUUUGUAGUUUCCAGCUUUGUGCAUCAAAGGCUCCUCCACGAGUCAUGAUAACCUGUUUGUUAUAUUUUUUAAAGUUAUGAGGAAAGACAAAAAAUAAAUAAAUGUUAAUCUUUUAAAAAUAUCAAAGUUUGUUCACAAAGGACGGGUUGUUUUAACUUGGAAGAAAUUGUAAAAAUAUUGGAUUAAUUCUUAUUUUUAACAUUUUUUUUUAACUUUUUUUCUAAUGAAAGAUUGUCAAUGUUUUGUAUAAAUUCAAUAUGUGAUGCUUUUAAAAGACAUACUCUGAUUAUUUUACUAUCUAUAUUGAUAGCAACACCCAAUCUUGUUUGCAACUAGUACAAAACACAAACUGACGUUUUGACAGAGCAUCAUUUAGCUCUCAAAAUUACUUUAACAUCAGUCUCCAUAGCAACCAUGGUAUGUUUUGGUCGGCUGGGGAUACCAAAUACAUUGACGUGAGUUUCAGCAAAAAAAAAAAAAUCAGCAAAAGUAAAUUUUUGGCUUUUCUUAGCAACGAAGGUUAUUUGCUAACUACACCUAUAUUCCUGAUAUGUUCAUAUCCAGUGGUAUAUUAUUUGGUCCAGCUCUACCCAGGCAUCCAUUGAGUAUUUUUUCACAAUAUUUCCCUUCAAAAUGGGUGAGUAUCAGAAGAAUGCCACUUUUGAGAGCCCGCAAUGCGCAUGCCGCUCAAAAUCUACAACUUGUAAUUGCAACUUUUUUUCCACAGUAACUUCCUGAUGACGCUCAAGAAUUUUGGAGACGAUCAAGGAAAAUCCCUAGGACGAGUUUUUUUUGUAUCUAGUACUAAGGGUAGUUUUUAUUUAUUUAUUUUUUUUGUUCAAGAUGACAGCCUCCUUCUGAGGUCAAAUGUCAACAAAACUUUUGUGGUGGUUGUAGACUUAAGCUGGCAGCAUGUGUGUUGAAAUUUGUGAAAUUCACUGGAACAAAAGUUUCGUUUUUACAAAUUGCGAGAACAUGUGAAAAUUGGGAAAUUUCACACUUUGCCACAAAAUGGCCACCAGGUUUUAGGUCAUAUGGCCAUCCCAUAAUAAUUUCAUAACUUCCGUAUUUAAAUAUCCCCGACACAUAUGUUUUGGUUUUGUUAGUGUAAAUAGAUUUUAUUUUUUUAUUCCAUAAGCAAUUUGUCCCUUUCAUUUUUUAUGUUUUUUUAAAGGUUUCGCCCACCAUGAGGUCAUCGUUUUUUGGGGGGAGGGGGUGGGGGUUGUCAUGUGGCCAAAAAUGAGUUUUUACUGGGUUCUAGGUGUUUUCAAAUUUUGGUGAGUUUUGGUUGAUGCGGCGGGGGUCAAAUUUUCACUCAAAGGCGCAGAAAUGUUUCUGUAUUCGAGAACAAUACAGUCCUUGCAUUCAGUGACUGCUACAGGCCAUAAUUAAUCCAAAUAUAAGGUGUUCCGGUUUAUAAGACACACAAUUAUAUUUUAUAAGAAAGAAAAAAAAGGCUUUUAAUUGUACAAGACUAUUUUAUUUGCAUUGAUUGAGCGCUACAAGUUUGGACAGAACCUAGACUUUCAAAUUGUGACUUAUUUCCCCUUAAAUAUGGUAUUUUAGGAGAUUUUGUCACAUUAAUUUCUAAUGUUUGCCAAGAUGACAACAGGUCUAAUCUAGUAAGAUUGCCCUGACAUUAGUAUAUAUUGCUGUUGAGACCAUGUCAAUAACCUCUCAGCCUGUGAAGGGGGGAGCCACGGGAAUCUUUCCAUUCCCUGAUCCAAUUAGCUGCAGACUAAGCCAACUGAACCCGGUUGGCCCCCCGGGCACCUCAAACCACUAAGAGCAGCCAGCCAGGCAGAGGCCAGAAGGUGAGCUGCCACCUAAACUUUUUACAUUGAUUACAACCAAUCCCUGUAGACUCUGUGACGGAUUGUGAUUCUUGUCUACUUUCCCAUGAGACUCCCAUGCAUAUGGUAUGUAUAGAAAGACACCUAAAUGUUUAAAAAGUAAGAACAUUUUGCUCACUAUUUUUAGUAUUUAAAUAGGGAUAUUAAUACUAAACUGUGCACCUUUUUUUUAAAGCUAUGCAAUUAAGUUUCAUGUGCAGUUUAAUUUCAGAGUAAGUGGCCAACAGCAGAGAGCAUAAUACCAGCCACCAUUCAUCCCAGUUUUAAUCAUUUCUUUUCAAUCCAAGUUCCAUCAAAUGUCUUGAAGUCUUUGUUAAACUUCACAAACACCAUCUCUGAGUCAAGCAGUUAAUUAGCUGGUAAUGCGCACAGCCUGCCCACAGUCAGAUGAGUGCACAUCAAAGAGGCCGCCCCACAAACCGGCGACUGCGCCUUCCACGCAUCCGUCUUCCGACCGCAAAACCCCAUCAAAUGUGAUGCGACGUGAGGGGCUGCCUGCCAUCUCUCCGGCAUCUGACCUUGUUUUACGGUUCAACAGCCAUCCACUUUUUUGGGGAGGGGAGUUUUUAACGGCCUGCCACCCCCGAGAGGACUGACCAAGUUUCCUUCCCUCUUAAGCAUUAAUUUACAAGCCUCGUCCGCUGUCCAAUGGGAUGAAAGACCACUUCAAGUUCAGUAAAAACCAACUUGCAGCAAGUUUUUGCUCUAAUGCAGUACGUUUUGCCGGACAGCUGGUGUCUGAGUGAAUCUAGAGAAGCAGUUGAGUUUCAACAUCAAAGUGCAGGUUAAGUGUGAUAAGUGGAAUGAGCAUAUGCCAGGGGGAAGAUAAUGACUAAAAAUGACUUUCUGUCUCCCUUACACAAAGAGAGACAGGGGCACAGCUGCUGUGGAAGAUUAAUGGGGCUGCCAGAUGUAGGGACUCUUGAGAGGGUGACCAGCCUAUAGUGCUCUUCACCAUGCUGGAAGAGGACAAAGCAUCCAUCAGACAAGCAUGGAGCAGACAGGCAGAGGAUCGUCAGAUAGGAGUAGAUUCGAUUCGAUUCCAGGGUAUCCCACCUUCGCCCGACAGUAGCCAGAUGAGGCUCUGGCAGCACCGUGACCCCAAAAGGGAUACAGUGGGAGUGACUGCUGUCUAACCUCUGGGUCACCUGAGAGGAGCAUCUGACAGCAUCAGUUCAGGACCAUCUAUACGAUUUGUUUUUCUCCUUCAUCAAGGUUAAAUGGAACAAAACAAUCAUCUUAGCUCAUGUGAACAAAUAGGGAAAAGGUACCCCGAUGUCCUACAACAAGGGUUAUAAAUAAGACAGAAAUCCAACACUUUCUAUGCAAUUUUCUCAAAAAGGCAAUUAAAUCUCGGAAGGGAGGAAAAGAGGAGAAACCUGAAACAAAUGCCUAAAAGCCCUUCUGCCAAAACCUCAGAUGCAGGGACACCGGUUCCUUGUUCUCUGAACAGAGAGAGUUUCAAUUACAUGCAGUUUGCCCUUGGUUGGGCUAUUUCAAUAUUUUAUGUUGAUACAUUACCACUGCACCACGCCUUCAUUCAUUUUCAUUCAAAGGAAGGAGCUUUGAGCAGAAAUAGGCGCUCUA
Oryzias melastigma (Indian medaka) is the source of this 4070-nucleotide long non-coding RNA. RefSeq lists it as uncharacterized. The record is from RefSeq and is a predicted model, not a curated record. Lineage: Eukaryota; Metazoa; Chordata; Actinopteri; Beloniformes; Adrianichthyidae. The transcript is spliced from 3 exons.